RNAcentral lists this ribosomal RNA (323 nucleotides) under uncultured Ruhlandiella. RNAcentral describes it as "eukaryotic LSU rRNA". The stretch from base 1 to 102 matches the Rfam family "5.8S ribosomal RNA", at positions 53 to 154 of the family's 154-position model. Lineage: Eukaryota; Fungi; Ascomycota; Pezizomycetes; Pezizales; Pezizaceae. The record is from RNAcentral.
GUACGAUAAGUAAUGUGAAUUGCAGAAUCUCAUGAAUCAUCGAAUCUUUGAACGCAUAUUGCACCAUAUAGUAUUUCGUACAGCAUACCUAUCUGAGCGUCAGCUUCCCCAUACUCAAGUCUUUUAAUUGAAGCUUGGAUCACUUUAAAGAGGUGGCUGAAAUACAAUAGGCUACUCAUUAGAAAUUUAUAGGCAGUAUAGCACCUGAACCAGGUGUAAUAAGGAUAUAAAAGCAUCUCUCUUUAGGAAGGUUGUACUUGCCUUAACCCACUCAUUUUCUUCUGGGUGACCUCAGAUCAGGUAGGGAUACCCGCUGAACUUAA